GUCUUUUUGAUUUUUUUUUAAAGUCUAACCUGCCCAGUGAAUAAUUUAACGGCCGCAGUAUACUGACUGUGCAAAGGUAGCAUAAUCAAUAGUCUUUUAAUUGAAGGCUUGAAUGAAUGGUUGGACGAGAUAUUAACUGUUUCAUUUAAAUUUAUAAUAGAAUUUUAUUUUUUAGUCAAAAAGCUAAAAUAAAUUUAAAAGACGAGAAGACCCUAUAAAUCUUUAUAUUUAAUUUAUUAUAAAUUUUUAGAUUUCUUUUUUUAUAAUAAUUAUAAUAUUUUAUUGGGGUGAUAUUAAAAUUUAAUGAACUUUUAAUUUUUAUUUUACAUUAAUUUAUGAUUUAUUGAUCCAAUAUUAUUGAUUAAAAAAUUAAGUUACUUUAGGGAUAACAGCGUAAUUUUUUUGGAGAGUUCAUAUCGAUAAAAAAUAUUGCGACCUCGAUGUUGGAUUAAGAUAUAAUUUUAGGUGUAGCUGCUUAAAUUUUAAGUCUGUUCGACUUUUAAAUUCUUACGUG
Molecule: ribosomal RNA, 514 nt
Filed under: Lispe leucospila
Lineage: Eukaryota; Metazoa; Arthropoda; Insecta; Diptera; Muscidae
Description: partial 16S ribosomal RNA
Rfam family: Bacterial large subunit ribosomal RNA (bases 385-514)
Source: RNAcentral